UGGGGAAUAUUGGACAAUGGGCGCAAGCCUGAUCCAGCGAUGCCGCGUGUGUGAAGAAGGCCUGCGGGUUGUAAAGCACUUUUAGCGAGGACGAGGUUUUAGGGGGUUAAUAGGUCUCUAAGAUGACGGUACUCGCAGAAAAAGCACCGGCUAACUCUGUGCCAGCAGCCGCGGUAAUACAGAGGGUGCAAGCGUUAAUCGGAAUUACUGGGCGUAAAGCGCGCGUAGGUGGUUAGUUAAGUUGGAUGUGAAAUCCCCGGGCUCAACCUGGGAACUGCAUUCAAAACUGACUGACUAGAGUAUGGUAGAGGGUGGUGGAAUUUCCUGUGUAGCGGUGAAAUGCGUAGAUAUAGGAAGGAACACCAGUGGCGAAGGCGACCACCUGGACUGAUACUGACACUGAGGUGCGAAAGCGUGGGGAGCAAACAGGAUUAGAUACCCAGGUAGUCCCUGAGCGGGCUGGCAAGGCGCAU
RNAcentral lists this ribosomal RNA (473 nucleotides) under uncultured bacterium. RNAcentral's name for it is "bacterial SSU rRNA". It matches the Rfam family "Bacterial small subunit ribosomal RNA", at positions 355 to 825 of the family's 1533-position model. The record is from RNAcentral.